This 2314-nucleotide ribosomal RNA is filed under the name human gut metagenome. RNAcentral's name for it is "bacterial LSU rRNA". It matches the Rfam family "Bacterial large subunit ribosomal RNA", at positions 14 to 2351 of the family's 2925-position model. The record is from RNAcentral.
AGGGCGCACGGUGGAUGCCUUGGCACUAGAAGCCGAAGAAGGACGUGACAAACGACGAAAUGCCUCGGGGAGCUGUAAGUAAGCACUGAUCCGGGGAUGUCCGAAUGGGGGAACCCACUAGCUACUGGCUAGUACUCUUAUCUGUUAAGGAUAGGAAGAGGAAGACGCAGUGAACUGAAACAUCUAAGUAGCUGCAGGAAGAGAAAGCAAACGCGAUUGCCUGAGUAGCGGCGAGCGAAACGGCAGGAGGGCAAACCGAAGAGUUUACUCUUCGGGGUUGUAGGACUGCAAUGUGGACUUAAAGAUUAUAGAAGAACUACCUGGGAAGGUAGGCCAAAGAGAGUAAGAGCCUCGUAUUUUAAAUAGUCUUUAUACCUAGCAGUAUCCUGAGUACGGCGGGACACGAGAAAUCCCGUCGGAAUCUGGGAGGACCAUCUCCCAACCCUAAAUACUCUCUAGUGACCGAUAGUGAACCAGUACCGUGAGGGAAAGGUGAAAAGCACCCCGGGAGGGGAGUGAAAUAGAACCUGAAACCGUGUGCCUACAACAAGUUCGAGCCCGUUAAUGGGUGAGAGCGUGCCUUUUGUAGAAUGAACCGGCGAGUUACGAUAUGAUGCGAGGUUAAGUUGAAGAGACGGAGCCGUAGGGAAACCGAGUCUGAAUAGGGCGAAUUAGUAUUAUGUCGUAGACCCGAAACCAUGUGACCUACCCAUGAGCAGGUUGAAGGUGAGGUAAAACUCACUGGAGGACCGAACCAGGGCACGUUGAAAAGUGCUUGGAUGACUUGUGGGUAGCGGAGAAAUUCCAAACGAACUUGGAGAUAGCUGGUUCUCUCCGAAAUAGCUUUAGGGCUAGCGUCGACAUCAAGAUUCUUGGAGGUAGAGCACUGUUUGGGUGAGGGGUCCAUCCCGGAUUACCAAUCUCAGAUAAACUCCGAAUGCCAAAGAAUUAUGGUCGGCAGUCAGACUGCGAGUGCUAAGAUCCGUAGUCGAAAGGGAAACAGCCCAGACCACCAGCUAAGGUCCCAAAAUAAUUGUUAAGUGGAAAAGGAUGUGGGGUUGCACAGACAACUAGGAUGUUAGCUUAGAAGCAGCUAUUCAUUCAAAGAGUGCGUAAUAGCUCACUAGUCGAGUGACCCUGCGCCGAAAAUGUACCGGGGCUAAAACAAUUUACCGAAGCUGUGGAUACCUUUAUAGGUAUGGUAGGAGAGCGUUCUAUGUGUGGCGAAGGUGUACCGUGAGGAGCGCUGGAACGCAUAGAAGUGAGAAUGCCGGUAUGAGUAGCGAAAGACAGGUGAGAAUCCUGUCCACCGUAAGACUAAGGUUUCCAGGGGAAGGCUCGUCCGCCCUGGGUUAGUCGGGACCUAAGGAGAGACCGAAAGGUGUAUCCGAUGGACAACAGGUUGAUAUUCCUGUACUAGAGUAUGUAGUGAAGGAGGGACGCAGUAGGCUAACUAAAGCGUGCGAUUGGAAGUGCACGUCUAAGCAGUGAGGUGUGAAUUGAGUUAAAUGCUUAAUUCUAUAACAUUGAGCUGUGAUGGGGAGCGAAGUUUAGUAGCGAAGUUAGUGAUGUCACACUGCCAAGAAAAGCUUCUAGCGUUAAUCAUACUCUACCCGUACCGCAAACCGACACAGGUAGUCGAGGCGAGUAGCCUCAGGUGAGCGAGAGAACUCUCGUUAAGGAACUCGGCAAAAUGACCCCGUAACUUCGGGAGAAGGGGUGCUGGCUUAAGGUCAGCCGCAGUGAAUAGGCCCAAGCAACUGUUUAUCAAAAACACAGCUCUCUGCUAAAUCGUAAGAUGAUGUAUAGGGGGUGACGCCUGCCCGGUGCUGGAAGGUUAAGAGGAGUGCUUAGCGGUGACGCGAAGGUAUGAAUUGAAGCCCCAGUAAACGGCGGCCGUAACUAUAACGGUCCUAAGGUAGCGAAAUUCCUUGUCGGGUAAGUUCCGACCCGCACGAAAGGCGUAAUGAUUUGGGCACUGUCUCAACGAGAGACUCGGUGAAAUUUUAGUACCUGUGAAGAUGCAGGUUACCCGCGACAGGACGGAAAGACCCCAUGGAGCUUUACUGCAGUUUGAUAUUGAGUGUCUGUGCCACAUGUACAGGAUAGGUAGGAGCCAUAGAGAUCGGGACGCCAGUUUCGAUGGAGGCGUUGUUGGGAUACUACCCUUGUGUUAUGGCCACUCUAACCCGGAUAGGUGAUCCCUAUCGGAGACAGUGUCUGACGGGCAGUUUGACUGGGGCGGUCGCCUCCUAAAAGGUAACGGAGGCGCCCAAAGGUUCCCUCAGAAUGGUUGGAAAUCAUUCGCAGAGUG